GGAAAGCAGAGAAUAUGUAGCAAGACUGUGUAGUCACGCUGGAGGAUGAACUCGACAAACUUGGGUCAAUGGACCAGAAAAUGUGCUGCAAUAUGCCACCAGAACCAGUGUCUUGUCACUCAGUGUACAACAUGGAUGCAACCCCUAUCUGAUGAUAACCAUCUGCCAAGUAAAAAUGAGAGAGAUAGUCUACCAGAUACAAGGAGAUAACAGUAUUCUUGAAGUCAUCUUCUGCUAGAGGGAGUGUCCCGGAAGGGCCACUUCCAUUGACGAGUGGAUACCAUGCGCGACCAUGGGGUCUC
Long non-coding RNA from Lytechinus variegatus (green sea urchin), 302 nucleotides. RefSeq lists it as uncharacterized. The record is from RefSeq and is a predicted model, not a curated record. The transcript has 2 exons. NCBI's taxonomy places the organism in Eukaryota, Metazoa, Echinodermata, Echinoidea, Temnopleuroida, Toxopneustidae.